Long non-coding RNA from Triticum dicoccoides, 1421 nucleotides. RefSeq lists it as uncharacterized. NCBI's taxonomy places the organism in Eukaryota, Viridiplantae, Streptophyta, Magnoliopsida, Poales, Poaceae. The transcript is spliced from 6 exons. The record is from RefSeq and is a predicted model, not a curated record.
AACCAAACAGACCCAAUGAAACCUAAGCAUGUCCUCCCCCACCGCACCCCUAUCCUCGCCUCUUUCCUUCCCUGCCUGCUGCCCUCCCUACGGCAGCUCCUCUGCUUCGGCCCGGCCCUCCAUGUAUGUGCCGCCGCGCCCCCACUCACCCCCGUCGUCGCGGCCACAGGGCCUCGCCUCGCCCGCCCCGCCCAAUGCCGACGCUGAUUCCGGCACCACGCACCCACGGCACGACGCCACGCCUCGCUCGCCUUCGUCGAGGCCGUGCGAUGCAGCCCAAGCACGGUGUGUCUCGGCCUUGGCCAACGCGCUCGGCCAUGACUAGCAGCGACUCAUGAAGCGCUUGGGCACAUGGGCUGCGGUCAAGCGGCGGUAGCGUCGCAGGGGCCAUGUGGAAGCCGGGAUGAGGACGGACACUUCCAGAUCAGGUGCUCGCACCUGAUCUUGAUUUCUGUGGUCGUGGCGGUUGAAGAUUGAGCAUUGGACGGAUGCAUCUAGAUCAGACCUGUCCUAUAUGGCCGAGCAAGAUCGAGGACGACUGCCGAUAAUGUUCUCCUCGUGUGCAAGCUCCGCACUGCACUGAAGCAUCCGACACAUGCUUAUUCCUUUUAAUGAUCUGAGAAAUAUAUUUGGAUCAGGGAAGCAUGAAGCACAAGCAAUCAUCUCAGAUAUCGAAUCUCAAGCAUACAGAAAUAGGCUUGCAAAAUUCUUUAGUACUGAUUUAGUUGUUGCUCCUAACAAAGCCUCCAAAAUCUCUGCGAAGAGUUAUAGUAUGAUCCUGAACUUGCGAGCAAGAUGCAUAAAGGCUCCUGGACUGCCGCGUGGUCACAGUGAAGAUGUGACACUUGUGGUUAUCUUUAUGUGGCAUUGAUGGUCAGAGAAACAAAACAAAGCUGGAGUGUGGUAAUAGCCAGGGACAUGUACCCAACUGUGAUGUCACCUUGGCCAUGCCCUUCUUUGUGAACUAUUAUGUAUGAAAUAUCCAGAAAAAGCUUAUCAAGACUAUUGAUAGUGCUUCUCUACUGCUCGAGUAAGGUAGUAAACGGUGAGAUGAACGCCACCCAUGUUGUCGUCUCAGCCAUAUGGACAUAAUCUAAGGAUGGGAUCCACUCGCCUCAAGAAGGACGAUGACCACAACGAGUACCACCAUUGAACUGAAGGAGCCAGGGUGCAGGCGUUCCUCGAGAUAUUUCCAGUGGCCCCGCAGCCGAAGAAGCCGAAGUUAUGAUGAAGGUGUGACAUACAUCUGUUGGUGCUUAUGAAGUGUGCAACACAUGUACCAUGAAAGGGGGUACUAAGUUUGAUUUGCGUGGAUAUACUGUACUUCCCCCAUUUUCAAAAUACAAGUUGUACUUAGCUUUUCUAAAUUUAUACUUUGCCUAUAAUUUUUCUUAAAAAAAUUAGUUGGUGGUUACAAAACA